AUUGAACGCUGGCGGCAGGCCUAACACAUGCAAGUCGAACGAGUGGCGGACGGGUGAGUAAUGUCUCGGAAACUGCCUGAUGGAGGGGGAUAACCAAGGGAAACGGUACAUAAAACCGCAUACGCUCAGAUGUGCCCAGAUGGGAGUAGCUUGUUGGUGGGGUAAAGGCUCACCAAGGCGCCGAUACCUCGCGGGUCUGAGAGGAUGACCAGCCAACCUGGAACUGAGACACGGUCCAGACUCCUACGGGAGGCAGCAGUGGGGAAUAUUGCACAAUGGGGGAAAGCCUGAUGCAGCCAUGCCGCGUGUAUGAAGAAGGCCUUCGGGUUGUAAAGUACUUUCAGCGGGGAGGCGUUACCCGCAGAAGAAGCACCGGCUAACUCCGUGCCAGCAGCCGCGGUAAUUC
This 406-nucleotide ribosomal RNA is filed under the name uncultured bacterium. RNAcentral's name for it is "partial 16S ribosomal RNA". It matches the Rfam family "Bacterial small subunit ribosomal RNA", at positions 30 to 526 of the family's 1533-position model. The record is from RNAcentral.